Pelobates cultripes (western spadefoot toad) is the source of this 228-nucleotide non-coding RNA. The record is from the annotation of a GenBank genome assembly. NCBI's taxonomy places the organism in Eukaryota, Metazoa, Chordata, Amphibia, Anura, Pelobatidae.
GCCAGCCCCAUAAGUCAUUGCGCCAUAUAUUGUCACAUGUAAUAUGUAAGGCUUUGUCUUGCCACCCCAGAUAAUUGAGUAAUAUAUAAACACACACACACUAUAUAUUGCUUUUUCUAGUGUAAAAUAUUGGUCCUUUCAGAGUAAAAUGUUUAAUUAUACAGUAAGCAUACUCACAUGCAGACACAGACAAUCUCACUGACACACAUCCUCAUAGACAAACAAUCU